CCUGCCUCAGCCUCCCAAAGUGCUGCGAUUACAGGUGUGAACUACUGGGCCCAGCCCCAGGCCCUCUUACAGGAGUGGGCUGCCUAGAAACAUUCCAGUGCCAUAUCCCACUCCACUCCGGGUGCAGGGACAGGACCCCUGCCACCCCCAACCCAGGCCCAAAAGGAGGGGCCAGGAGGGGAGGGGCCACCAAGGCAGGUUAACGUUCCACAACAAAGAAAGUAGCACUUAACAUCCAGAGGAAACAGAGAUAGGAGAAAGGGUUCACGAACCAGUCCAGGAGAGUGAAGAAGACACAAGAAGAAGACAGAAACCUCCUGGUCUGGGCCAGUCUGUGGAUCUUGCAAGGAUGUCUUCGAGGUGGUGGAGCCUCAGGCGGCAGAUGGUGAGUUCUGCUGGGGCCUUUCCUUCUGCAAUCACAGAGGCCUCCCGUGAGAAGUGACAUCUGAAGAGUGCGCUUGCUUGCGUCCUCAUCUGUUUGGAUGCAGGCUUUAUUUUUAACUUGUUUAUUAAGCAAAACAUCUUACCUUUGUUGGCCAAGUGCCCUGUAAGAUAUACAAUGGAGUCUCUAAGAUGGAGUUAGUUAUGCCAAGGGUGCUGUGUGCAUGGGGGCACACAUUAGUGGCUCACAGCUGUGACUCCCUCCAGGCCCCUCAAGAAGAAAUUCAUGACAGAGAACACGGCCAGAGUUCAGUCCUCAGUUCCCCCUUAUCUGGGUCUCUGUGAUAGCAGUCGGCAUUUUCCACCGGGUGGGGGUUUCUGAAAGACUUGAGAAUGUAUGUUAUGCUUUAGUUUCUAUAGGGAAGCAAACCACCUGUGGCUGUGGCCUGCUUGGGAGACCCGUGCUCCCGUCGCCUUCCUGGCAGGCUGCUCACUUACCUUUCAAGGCUGGCAAGGUGACUGGAAUUUCCCUUGAAGGGAUUCAAGAGUGUUCCUUGAUUUCCAAGCUUGGGAGAGCCUGGCAGGCACCUAGGAGGGGUCCCUGCUCCAUCUCACUAUGUUGCCCAUGUGGGUCUUGAACUCCUGGGCUCCAGCCGUCCUCCUGCCUCAGCCUUCUGAGUAGUGGGGACUACAGCUGUGGGCCACUGUGUAACCGCCCAGUGGGUUCGCCUCAUUGUAUUCACUCCUUUCCAGGUUUGUAUUUAUGGUAUGAAUUUUAAUUUCACCACAAAAACUUAAAUCUCCCACAAGACAGAACUUUUUUUUUUUUUUUGAGACGGAGUCUUGCUCUGUCGCCCAGGCUGGAAUGCAAUGGCGUGAGAGGCCUUCUGGGUUCAAGUGAUUCUCCCAUCUCAGCCUCCCUAGUAGCUGGGAUUACAGGCAUGUGCCACCACAC
RNAcentral lists this long non-coding RNA (1336 nucleotides) under Homo sapiens (human). RNAcentral describes it as "HSALNT0145244". The record is from RNAcentral. Lineage: Eukaryota; Metazoa; Chordata; Mammalia; Primates; Hominidae.